UACGUAGGUGGCAGCGUUGUCCGGAUUUACUGGGCGUAAAGAGCGCGCAGGCGGUCGUUCAAGUCGCGUGUGAAAGCCCCCGGCUCAACUGGGGAGGGUCACGCGAUACUGAUCGACUCGAAGGCAGGAGAGGGUAGUGGAAUUCCCGGUGUAGUGGUGAAAUGCGUAGAUAUCGGGAGGAACACCAGUGGCGAAGGCGACUACCUGGCCUGUUCUUGACGCUGAGGCGCGAAAGCUAGGGGAGCAAACGGG
RNAcentral lists this ribosomal RNA (252 nucleotides) under uncultured bacterium. RNAcentral describes it as "partial 16S ribosomal RNA". It matches the Rfam family "Bacterial small subunit ribosomal RNA", at positions 524 to 776 of the family's 1533-position model. The record is from RNAcentral.